AGUAGAAUUGAAGUCCCUUUGCGAGUAUCGAUUGGAGGGAAAUUCUGGUGCCAGCAGCCGCUGCAAUUCUAGUUCCAAUCGGACAC
RNAcentral lists this ribosomal RNA (86 nucleotides) under Azadinium spinosum. Its description in RNAcentral is "partial Eukaryotic small subunit ribosomal RNA". Lineage: Eukaryota; Dinophyceae; Gonyaulacales; Amphidomataceae. The record is from RNAcentral.